UACAGAGGUCUCGAGCGUUAGGCGGAAUCACUGGGCUUAAAGCGUGUGUAGGUGGAUGCCUAAGUACCUUGUGAAAUCCCACAGACUUACUGUGGAACUGCUUGGUAUACUGGGUGUCUUGAGUCACUCAGGGGCGAGCGGAACAAAUGGUGGAGCGGUGAAAUGCGUAGAUAUCAUCUGGAACGCCAAUGGUGCAGACAGGCUGCUGGAAUGAACUGACGCUGAGGCACGAAAGCUAGGGGAGCGAACGGG
RNAcentral lists this ribosomal RNA (252 nucleotides) under uncultured bacterium. RNAcentral's name for it is "partial 16S ribosomal RNA". It matches the Rfam family "Bacterial small subunit ribosomal RNA", at positions 524 to 776 of the family's 1533-position model. The record is from RNAcentral.